GCCGCCUCCGCCCCCCGGGGAGCUCCAGCCGCUCGCCCGCAGGGCGGGGACGCGGGGUGGGAAAACCCAGCCGGUUCCUUGCAUCACGAGAGCGGGAACCCCCAACCCCCCUUCCCCAGCGCCUGCCCGCCCGCCUGCCCCUUUAUGUCCCCUCCCCGCAAGCCCAGCCAGCGCACGCUGGGGUGUCAGCCCCGGAGCAAGCCAGAGAGCGAGGCCAUAACCAGCUCGGUGCAAUCAGUGGCCGCCGUCUCGCCGAGCGAUAAACGAGUCCAGCGGGAGGAGAGAAAACCAGCUAGGAGCCAGGGGAAAUCAGUCCGCGCCGCUUAGCCUGGCACAUGUGAGCAGCGACAUCCCCUCCCCAGUGUUGGCAGCAUCAGCGGGCUGGGAAGGUGAGGCCGCCCCUAUGCAGGACAGCACUUAAGGAUACCCCUAGAUUUAAGCACCCGAGGAGCCCCAUGGAGGCCGGUACAGAAUGGACAAACAGCAGGUGAGCUGUGUUGUGUGCCAUUCAUUGUUAUAAAACUGGACCUGUGUGCGUGGAGGAAUUACACUGACGUGUGAAAAUAUUUACAGAGAAGUCCUGGCCCCAUUUAAGUCAAUUGGAGCUUUGUCGUUGAGUUCAGUGGGGCCAGGAUUUCACUCUUAAACUGGAAGGGAGGAGCGUCAACCCGACAGAGCAACCCAUGUCUGGAUAAUGCAGGAGAUGUGCCACCCAAGUUACGGAAGUGCUUCUGUGUUGAAUGCAUGGCAUCAAACUGAAAGACAAUUGUUUUGCUGUGGACCUAAUUAUGAGGCUCUCGCCCCAGGCUUGUCUGAGCACAGCGUCCAGCUGGCAUCCUCCUCUGCUUUGGCUUUUGGAGAGGAGAGGGGAGAGCAGCUGCAGAACGGUGCCACUCCUUGAUUCUGGUUUCUUCCUUUGCAACCAUGCCUGUGGACCUUUGACUGCUGAGUCUAAGCACUAAAGGCCUGAUCUAAAGCCCAUUGAAAGCAAUGGAGGGCUUUUCAUUGUCUUCAGUGGGCUUUGGGUUAGGCCCUAAAUGAUCGGUCACUUACUCUUAUUUUCUUCCUUUCUUACCACGGAUAUGCUCUUCACGAGUCAGCAUGGAAGAGAGAAGGCUUGUAAAAAAAAUGAAUUAAGUUGAUCUUUGGCUCUUAAUUUAAUUGACAAAGCUCAUUGUGGAGCAGAUUGAUUGUAUUUCAGAGCAUAUCCUCAAAUGUCAGACCUAAAAAACCCAAAAGCAAUUGAACUAAGUGCAGUUGGCUGUAUGCAGCAUGAACACUCAUUUAGCUUUAGUACUAUAUCUGCCUGAUACUAUUUAAGUUUUGCUUAUGCGAGCAGAUAUCAUAUCUAAUAUAUUUUUCAGACACUACGUGAGCACAAUGAAAAGGGGAGGAAAAAGAGGAUUUGCCACUAAUUUAUUUAUUAUGAUUAUUAUUAUUAUUCUAGGAUUUGUUAGUUCAUAACCACCACUUAAAAUGUAGUAUGGUAAAUUUAAUGCUGGAGAAAGGUUUACAAUCCAGGAAACUGAAGCUGUCCAUUCAGAAGAGGUGCAACAUAGGUUGUGGCAAUGCAAGAUUUCCCCCAGUGCUCCUCCAAUGUGCCCCAAACUGGACCUGGUAGGACAACCUCUAGGGGUAGGAUAGUAGCUCCACAUCCAUAUCCAUCCUGUUCUCAGCCUCAAUGGUGAGUGCCAUUAAGGCUGCCGAUUAGUGCAAUAUUUAUUCAUAGAUUUUAAGGGCAGAAGGGACCAUUAUUACCAUCUAGUCUGAUCUGCAUGACACAGGCCAUAUAUUGGAUUUUGUGGUACGGACACCUGAGCACAGAGAGCUGCACUGAGUACACCAAGUCAUUUGACACAGGCCACCCAAAAGCCAUUGGUCACUCCCUGUGCUGGAUUUGAACUAUCUAUACUACAUAUAUGACCUUAUUACUGUAGUAUCUGAGCACCUCCCAGUCAUGAGGAUAAAUAUGUUAACAACAACCCUGUAAGGUAGAGCAGCGCUAUUAUCCCCAUUGUACAGGUGGGGAACCGAGGUACAGAGAGGCUAAGUGACUUGCCCAAGGUUACCCAAGAAGUCUGUGGCAGAGCAAGGAGUUGACUCCCGGUAUCUUGAGUCCUAAGUUAGUGCCCUAAACAUUGGACCGCCCCUCCUCUCUGCUGCUCUAGCACUGAAAAAUUAUAUUUCCCAUGAUCAGUCACUACAGGUUUGAUUUCCUCCAUUUGGGCUCAAAUUUCCACUGGCCUUUUUUCUACCCAUAUCACCCUGCAAACUCAUGUCUAAUAUACUGCCUAUUAUCAUCAGGAGUUGCUUUCUAUGCAUCCCUCUCCAAAUGAGUAUAUGUGCUUUGGAUUAUUUUUCCCCUGGAUAUAUUUGGUUGAUCAGUUUGAGUCAGUAUUUUAAUGAACAACAAACUUAGUUCCUGUCAUAUACAGGGG
This is a long non-coding RNA of Trachemys scripta elegans, 2438 nucleotides long. RefSeq lists it as uncharacterized. The transcript has 2 exons. The record is from RefSeq and is a predicted model, not a curated record. Lineage: Eukaryota; Metazoa; Chordata; Testudines; Emydidae.